RNAcentral lists this ribosomal RNA (424 nucleotides) under uncultured rumen bacterium. RNAcentral's name for it is "bacterial SSU rRNA". It matches the Rfam family "Bacterial small subunit ribosomal RNA", at positions 354 to 776 of the family's 1533-position model. The record is from RNAcentral.
GUGGGGAAUAUUGGUCAAUGGGCGAGAGCCUGAACCAGCCAAGUAGCGUGAGGGAUGACUGCCCUAUGGGUUGUAAACCUCUUUUGUUUGGGAAUAAAGUGAGCCACGUGUGGCUUUUUGUAUGUACCUUACGAAUAAGCAUCGGCUAAUUCCGUGCCAGCAGCCGCGGUAAUACGGAAGAUGCGAGCGUUAUCCGGAUUUAUUGGGUUUAAAGGGAGCGUAGGCGGGCCUUUAAGCCAGCGGUCAAAUGUCAGGGCCCAACCUUGGCAUGCCGUUGGAACUGGUGGCCUUGAAUACACACAAGGAAGGUGGAAUUCGUCGUGUAGCGGUGAAAUGCUUAGAUAUGACGAAGAACUCCGAUUGCGAAGGCAGCCUUCUGGGGUGCGAUUGACGCUGAGGCUCGAAAGUGCGGGUAUCGAACAGG